This 253-nucleotide ribosomal RNA is filed under the name uncultured bacterium. RNAcentral's name for it is "partial 16S ribosomal RNA". It matches the Rfam family "Bacterial small subunit ribosomal RNA", at positions 524 to 776 of the family's 1533-position model. The record is from RNAcentral.
UACAGAGGUCUCAAGCGUUGUUCGGAUUCAUUGGGCGUAAAGGGUGCGUAGGCGGCGCGGUAAGUCGGGUGUGAAAUCUCGGAGCUUAACUCCGAAACUGCAUUCGAUACUGCCGUGCUUGAGGACUGGAGAGGGAACUGGAAUUUACGGUGUAGCAGUGAAAUGCGUAGAUAUCGUAAGGAAGACCAGUGGCGAAGGCGAGUUCCUGGACAGUUGCUGACACUGAGGCACGAAGGCUAGGGGAGCAAACGGG